CCUACGGGAGGCAGCAGUGGGGAAUUUUGGACAAUGGGGGAAACCCUGAUCCAGCCAUCCCGCGUGUGCGAUGAAGGCCUUCGGGUUGUAAAGCACUUUUGGCAGGAAAGAAACGUCAUGGGCUAAUACCCCGUGAAACUGACGGUACCUGCAGAAUAAGCACCGGCUAACUACGUGCCAGCAGCCGCGGUAAU
Molecule: ribosomal RNA, 194 nt
Filed under: uncultured Achromobacter sp.
Lineage: Bacteria; Pseudomonadati; Pseudomonadota; Betaproteobacteria; Burkholderiales; Alcaligenaceae
Description: partial 16S ribosomal RNA
Rfam family: Bacterial small subunit ribosomal RNA
Source: RNAcentral